Long non-coding RNA from Tympanuchus pallidicinctus (lesser prairie-chicken), 6476 nucleotides. RefSeq lists it as uncharacterized. NCBI's taxonomy places the organism in Eukaryota, Metazoa, Chordata, Aves, Galliformes, Phasianidae. The transcript is spliced from 10 exons. The record is from RefSeq and is a predicted model, not a curated record.
UAACUUUGGGGAAGGUUGCGUUUUGGGUUGCCUUCCUUCUGUCUCAAGAGCCUUCAGUGAGAACACAACUGUGUCAAAGUUUCAUUUUAUCUGCCUUGUCAAGGAACACUUUCUAAAACUAGGGAUACUCUAUUUCUAGAUGACUAGCACCUACAGCUCAAAGACUAGAAUUGAGUAGUUUCUCUACUCUAACUCUUUACUCCAACUCUCUACUAGUCUUGGCACAGCAGUAGGUAGCAGACGCCCUCCUGGAAAUGGGUCAUAUGCUUCCAGAAAUUUCUCCAGUUAGCAUAGAUGCAUAAUCUUUUCAAGUGAUGCAUACCAAGCUAGUUGUUGUCUUUAGGUGUAAAAUGUGUACUGAAUGGUUUGGGAUUUGAGGAUUUGUCUAAAUGAAGUGCAAAGGAGGGCUUAGUAAAAUUUAGAAGGAUAGACUAGUAUGUCCUAGUAUGUAUCUUUUGAUGCAUCUGGUUUUGACACCUUUCUUGAAUGUUUAACAUCAGAGCAUCAAAGCAUCUUGUAGCACCACUAUGCAAGCAAGGUAGCCUAGUUUUUCCAUUAUGCAGAUGACACAGCUGGGACACAGGGAGAGCAAAUUACUGGCCCAAAGCCUCACAGAAAGACUGGAAAAAAAUAAGGAAUUGAUCAGCACUCCCUGUGGAAAGUCAGCACAGUACUUGCUGCAAAAUCCUUUAUGUGUAGGGGUUUUAACUGACCAGGCAAUUGCUUAUUUAUCUGUUGUAUUCCAGGGCUUCUUGUUGUAUCCUUACUUUCCUGUUUCUGGUAAAUAAAUUUUUCAAACAACAUCUCUCUGUUCAACUUGAUUAACACAUUUGUUCCCAACCAAAGAGGUUGUUUUUAGGAGGUCUGUGCCAUACAGGAGCAUUUUAGCAUGGUGACAUGCUCCUUCGUGAUGCUUGCUUGCUGGAGAAAAUAUUUUUAAAUUUGUGGAAAAGCCUUGUCCACUGACAGCACCCAAGGGUGAGUAACAAUUAUUUCUGGUGAAAACCAGUUCUCUACCUAGUAUGACAAUAGCUGACUGCAUUUUCAGGUGUUCCUAGAUACGUUCACCCACUAUGUGCAAGUAAACAUGGUUCAUCAUGUUUUCCACAUGGAGGAAGUGGUUUGAAAAAAAAAAAAAAAGAGCAAACCCUAUUACUCAUCCUUACAGUUUCUAGAGAUUUGGGCUGGACCAGUGGGAAAGGCACAGUUCAUUUUAUCAGCUGGAAAGCAGUCUUUACUGAUUCAAAGUCAGGAGAUCCUGUUUAAGCGAAAGUCGUGAACAGAUAAUGUGGGGCUGAAAGACUGUGACCUGAAAAGACUAAGUAAAUAAGCUUCCAUUAUGUUCAUAUGUGACAGAUCCAUAACUAUAUGAUGUAACAGAAAGAUUAUAUUAGCCUUGAUUAUGAAUCACAAAAAAAAAAUUACAAAUAAUUCCUGUCAGUCUGCAGAGUACUUCUAAAGAACAAAUUUAAUUCCCAGAGUAAUGUUUGUGAUGUAUGUGAGGCUGUAUUAGGUACAGUAAGUAAAGCAAGGUUAACCUGAUCCCCAUGAAACAAACAUUAAAAAUAAGCCCAGAGUAACAGGUCCUUUUUCCACUUCACUUAUUCAUUAAUCAGUUCCAAUAUUUCUUCCUGAAUUUUCAGGGGCAUUCAGAGCUGAAAUGAUUAGUAAACCAAAUCCUAAGGUAACAUGGAAAGGAGAGGGAAACUUUCCUAAAAAACAUGGAAAGUACCAGUAGAGGGACCCAGAGUGUUGUUCACAAUAUCACUAAGGAAUAUUGGUAACACUUUUUGCUUUAUUUUUUUAUUUCCACAAUAAAACUUUAAAUAAGAAAAAGUUAAUCACUAUAAUAUUUAUCAGUAGCUAAGAAAAUGUCCCGGGUUGCAGUAGUCCUACUGCAGCACUGCUACUUGCCAAUACUGUUGAAUGUUUGUAGGGCAUUGUUUCCAAUCAGCAGCAAACAACACUAGAGCAAGAACUGCUAUUUUUGUUACUUGGUUAUGCAUUUAUUGCAGUGGGGCACUAAUGCCCCUUGUGUGCCUUUCAGGCAAAAAUAAAAAAAUAAACAGUGCUAAACCUCAAUAAUUUCUAAUAUUAUUCAGGACUUUCUAAUGUGACUCUGGAGGCUUGCCAGCGCGAUUCCCAUCUACAAGAAGAGUCUAAGGAAGAUCUGGGAAACUACAGACCCAUCAGCCUGACAUCAAUGCCAGGAAAGGCGAUGGAACAGAUCAUCUUGAGUGAGAUCACUGGUAUUUGCUGGACGAUGGGGAAUCAGGCCCAGCUAGCAUGGGUGCAUGAAAGGAAGAACCUGCUUGACCCGCCUGAUCUCCUUUUAUGUAUUGUUAGCACUUUGGCAAACUCCCAGCAGAUGGGCUGGCAGACAAGGUGGUGGGAAGGAUUUCUGUAAUCUGUUUUCCCAGCAAUGACCAUCUGAUGGGGGAGCAUUGAGAUCUCUAUCUGUGUUCUCUGAUGCUAUGAAAACUUGUUUGGAACUGCAUGAAUCCCUCUUCCAAGAGAGGUCUAGAUAUCUUGAAUGUUAUAACAUGACAGUUGCUUAUUUACUUGGAAAAGAAGCAUGAAUUUCUUGUGAAGUGCUAUGUGCAGGGGACCUCCAGCUCUGAGGAAGAACGUAAAGAAGUUGGUGGUUGAGGAGAACGAAACAUUGGAGAUCAUCCCUAAGAAUCUGGAGAAUUUAGAGAAGGCCAGUGUGAACUUCUCUCAUUUCUCAGGAAAUUGAAAGAGGUGAAAGAAGAAGUGGAGGUUGAAGUUAGUGUCAUAGUACCUCAAGACCCUUGACAGAGUCCAAAAAAAAAAAAAAAAAAAAAAAAGUGCAUGCAUCCAAAAAGACAACUGUGAUGGAAGAUAGUUACUCAUCCCAGAUGGAAUAAGUAUCUACAUUUUUUUGCAGCUGGACAAAACUGGAUAUUCAAAGAAAUGUGAAGAAAUUGUGUCAAAUCUUGACAAGGUUAACCUGUAACCUGAUAGAAACAAAACCACUGAAAAUGACCACAAAACAUUGCUAGCUGCGAUGUUUGAAAUGGGCCUGCUAAGGAAAAUGCCAAACUUCAUGUGGAAGUUCAAUGGGCAAGUGUGGAAGCAGGACAAUAAGUAUGAGGUCAUUGCAUCUGAUGAUUGUAUUGGCCCACACUUAGGAUAUCCUGUCCUGUGGACUUCAGAACUCAAUGCUGAAACUGGAGAUACAGAGCAGAAAGCUCCAUUCUUCACUGAUCACAGAGAUUCCAGUUCAAUUCAUCAGCAAACCUGAGAAUACCCAAAGGAAGAAUGGAAAAUCCUGCCUGGAGUAUGUGCUGAUUUUGGAAGAUGUCACUCUGAAAGAGAUGAGGAAUUGAUGGAUGAUUGAAAGAUUUCAAGUGCACUAGGAAUCAUGAAGGGAAGAGAGCAGAGCUUAUCAUAAUGUUGAUGAGCCAGUGACUCAGGAACUUGUAUAGGCAUUGCUGUGUGAGACAGUGAACCUAACGACUGCUACAGCAGCUCCAUUGUAACUGGGAAAUCUCUUGAACAGGUGUCUCAGCCUUAAGGACUAAAUGUCAGGAAAGAAGCUGUCACCAUCACCAGAAACUCCUCAGUCCAUAUUGGAGGUUCCCCAGAGCUAGGCUAUGUCACAGAAAGAAGGAAAAAGAAGGUACCUGAAGCAAAUGAUACAAUGCAUGUUCAGCCAUGCAGAGCCUGGAUUUCCCAGCACAGCUUUAAUCACUUGUUGCAAAGGAUCCCAUCAGUGUCUAUCUUCAACUAUUUAAUGUCCAGUUUUCCUGAACAUGUGUGCUAUGACAAGAUCUAUGCAUUUAUGACCGAAUUCUGAAGCAGUGUGGCAAACUUCAUCCUGACUCAGAAGCCUGCAGAAGUCCUGACAGUCCUCCAUCUGGUGGACUUUUCCAGCUCCAGCAUUUUCUCAGCCUGGCAGGAACCAAACAAGGAAGCUGUGCCAUCAGGAUACAUACUAGAGGAUAUAAGCAGAGAACACCAAGGAUGGACCCUUGACAGAAAGACAGUACUGAUCCCUGUCUUUAGUACCACUUAACACUGCAGGAGGCUUGCAGGACAGACAUAUCCUUCCAAGCUGCGAGUGAAGCCGGUGUGGGAAAAGCAAUGGAGUUACAGGUUUGACCUGACUGUGAGGCUGAAGAGCCACAUGGUGGUUUGUGCUGGAACAGCACAGUGCAUUCAUACAUCUUUGUCCAUACAAACUAGCUUGCUCCUUAGAGAAAUUUUCAUUACUGUAAUGAUCUGCUGGGGGUGAGAAGUUUAGAGAUCUUUGCAUUGUAUUUUAUACAUUGCCUCUUCAGAGUGCUUUUUAAAACUAGCAACCAUAUUUUUUCAUCAGGAAGGAAUUAUAUACGGCAAGCUGCUAUCAGGUUCCUCAAGCCAGAAGAAAUCAAGGAGAAAGUGCUUUAAUUAAACACAGAAAGACUCUGGAAGGGAGGAGCUGAAGUGAAAUAAUUUUGCCCCAGAAAAGAACACAGGGAUGGUUCCAAACAGGAGAAAUCAAUACUUAAUCUGCAAAAUAAUUCUUAGAUUUCCUCUGAUCAAUCACUAAUCUCAGCUGGCUUGAGAAAGUCCCAAGAAACUGUGAUACUAAAAUAGAAUUACAGCCAGGAUGAAGAAGAGAACUAGCAGACACAUUAUGAUAUCCUGAAAAAUGAUAUCAGUACUGCCACACAGUUCACACAGCCACAGAAAAGUCUACAGCAAUAAGUACACCAUCACAGGCCUGCUCCCAGGAAGGAAAUACUUUUUCUGAGUCAUUGCCCACAGUAACACUGGGGACAUUGACCCUCUGGAUUCAAAGAAGCUGUGGUACAUCUCCAAAGACAAAGGCUCAUGCCUGGAUCUUGCUAUUACCAUGUGACUUCAAAACCCACCACAUCAAACCUCCAAGGAAAUGCUUUGACUCAAGGGUCUGUUGCGUAAGUACAGACAGAAAAAUGCAGCAGGAGCACUGGGCUACUCACAGCAAAGCCACAGCAGAGAUGGGAUAGAGAGCUAUACAGUCUGCAGGCUGGGCCUGCUCUUACCAUACACUCGUCUGGGACCAUUCAGAACAGCUAUAAGAUAAAUAUUGUGUUCAGAGUCCCUCCUGUGGCACUUCUGCAUUUCAGUGCAGAUGUGGACAACCUCAGAGAUGGUAGCACUCUGGCAGGAUCCCCACCUCUGUCCUGCCAGCCAUGAAGGAUCUCCACUACACCAUAACGAGCCUGAGACCUUCAGGAUGGACAACUAACUGCUUCCAAAGAUAGAAACUAUUUGCAGCAUCCACAGUGCUGCAGGUCCCUGUAGCAGUCUCAGCUAAGGUAAGUAAUAUCUUUUAUCUGUGAAGACAGAAGUCUGUGCUGAAAAAUGUCGUUCAAGUUCAGCCUUGUUUGCAAAUCACAGCAGCACCUUAGAAGCAUACAGGAGAAUAUUUGGGUUAAUAAACGCAGGAAGUUUCAUUUAAUACCCCAUCUUAAAAUAAAAACACCUGCAGUUUGAGCAGUUACCAUUACAAUCACAGCUUACCCUCCCCUGUGUGCACACAUGAUGAGACAGGUUUUAAUUACAUUUGUCGUUUUCCCCAGGAACCUUGCCUUACUGAAUGUGAGAUCUGCAGUUGUGCAGAAAGGCUAUGUUUGCUUCGUAACCUUGAAAUUAUCUUUUUCUACUAUCUGAAUUUGAAUUUUCCAAGCCCAAACAUUAGCAUUAUUUUAAAAUAAGUGUUUGCAUUAUUUCCACCCUAGGAACAACUGAGUAAUUCUUCAGGCAUAAGAGGUGAGAUUCCAGUCUCAGUUUCUCGCCCAUAACUCUGGAAUUUAGGAGUUAGAGUCCUCACAUAAGAAAAACCUCAUAGACCUAGAAGGCAUCUCAUCAUUAACUCUUUAUUCCCUUGCACCUUUUCUACAAAUAUACUUCAAAUGAGUUAUUUCAGAACAUGCCCUUGCCUAUCACUCUGUGCUCAGCUGAGCUCCUGUGCUGGCUCUGACCAAAAGGAGUGCUCCAUGAGGGACACUUCACAGAGACAGAGGUUCCCAUGGAGCUGAGAUCCAGGCACCCAUCCUGCUGGGAUGGUGUGGCAUCAGAUAUGUUUGGGAGAAACAUUGCAAGAAAGGCUAAAGCAACAGAAGGAUGAGGCUGGGGGAUUUCCCUCUGUUUGGACAGGUGGCUAGGACCUAGGUAGAGAAGGUGGGACAACUUGCCAUCCAGAGGACAAGUCAUGGCUGGUAUUGGGACACGGUGUACCAACAUGAGCGGAGGCUGUGGCUUGAGGAAAGCCAAACAUAUAAUCCAUGACUGAACUUGCCUGUACCUUAGGGAAGGAAGUAUUGCUUGGCUGAAUGGGUAAAUUGCAGCAAACCAACCAUCUCCUUUGCACUUGUGUCUCAAAGACAGAACUUGAGAUGUGGCUGUGCCAUAGCAUUGGAAAAUGAAGGAUUUGCUGCAGGUGACAAGAUCUUUGCUAAUGUAUGACUUUUUUAUGGCUUUAA